This 253-nucleotide ribosomal RNA is filed under the name uncultured bacterium. RNAcentral describes it as "partial 16S ribosomal RNA". It matches the Rfam family "Bacterial small subunit ribosomal RNA", at positions 524 to 776 of the family's 1533-position model. The record is from RNAcentral.
UACAUGGGGUGCAAACGUUGCUCGGAAUUAUUGGGCGUAAAGCGCACGUAGGCGGUUCGUUAAGUCGGAUGUGAAAGCCCUCGGCUCAACUGAGGAAGUGCACCCGAAACUGGCGAGCUUGAGUACGAAAGAGGAUCGCGGAAUUCCCGGUGUAGAGGUGAAAUUCGUAGAUAUCGGGAGGAACACCGGUGGCGAAGGCGGCUCACUGGCCCGGUACUGACGCUGAGGUGCGAAAGCGUGGGGAGCAAACAGG